AGCAAGUGUGGCCGUUGAACUUCACACGUGAAGUAAACCUGGUCAGAUAUCAUGUAGAAAUAUGAUAACUAAUAUUGAUUUGUGUAAUGUACUAAUAUAUAUAUAUAUAUAUAUAUAUAGAACCAUAUCAAUCACUAUUUAGAUACUAAUCCUACACAUAACUACAAUUAAAAAUUACAUUCCUAUAAUACAUACAAUAACCAGCUCUUAUUAGUGCUCGGUCCUGUUUCAAUAUCACUCAACCACAACUAUUGAACCCACUUUGAAUAUAUUUUGAUAAGGUGUCAUAUUUUAUUCAAGGCGGACCCAUUUAUCCAUUAGUAGAUAGUUAUUCACUCACCACUAAAGGCUAUCGCCAAUCUUGAUGCGGAUGCUUCUGCCAAUCUUGAUACUAGAAAGCUUUAACCAAUUGAAUGGAUGAGAGAGAGGGAGAUGGAGCGAUUUGAGAGUGAAAAUUGUUCAUUUGAUUGAUCGACGAAAACCCAAUUUUAGGAAGGAUUGCGUUGGAUCAGACUUAUAUAUUAUGUUUGGUUGGGGAUUGUAGAGUCUGAAGGGGGCGUCUACUCCAAAUUGAAGUGUUUUCUGAAGCAGGGGACAUGAUUCAAAAGGAAUAUAAAGGCUAAUUUUGUUUCUUUGAAAACUUUGAGUUUUAACAAUAAGGACAGAUAAAGGGUAAAGUGAAUAGUAUCAGGUUUGACUUUUUAUUAUAAAAAUGUGGUUUUUCGUUAAAGUAAACAGUACCGCGAACUUUUCGUUAAAACUCCCUACAAUUUUAGGGUCAUUUUAUCCUUUUAAAUCUCGUUCGUUCUCCUAACAAUUUAUGACUUUGCCACCGCUCUUCAUCUCAAUCAAAACCCUCCACCCACCUCAAUUAUCAGUGAACAUGAACGAUGACUUCGUCGACCAUUUCCUUGUUAUUGCCAUAGACUUACCAUUCCCUCCCCUUAUAACAAAAAAAAGUAAGUGAAGAGAUAUACAUAUACGAUUAUUGAUUUUUCUUUUUUAUUUUGUUAUGGAGUGAUAUAUACUGAUACUAUUGAAGAUUGAUUAUUAUUAUUAUUUUUUUUUUAUAAAUGAAGAUUGAGCAUCAAUAAGAAGAUUUCAAUUCAAUAUUCUAGUAAGUAGAGUGUUGGCUUUUUACUUAAUUUCUGUUCAAAAUUCCAUGAUUCAUAAAUUAAUGAAAUAAUUUCAAACUCUCCCACUCUUCUUAAUAAUAAUAAUUUUUCUAAAAAAAUCAAUAAGAUGCUUGUGAAUAUACUUUUUUCGCACCCAUUAUCUUUUUGACUUUGAUCGAUGAUAUAUUUCUUCACCACAUGAAUCUUGAUCUCUAAUGUUAUCAGCCAAGUGUACAGGUUGUCUCUGUCUGUCAAUUUUGUGCUUAAUCUGAACAGUAAACUUGUAUUCUGAUGUUCAAUCAUUUUUUUUUUUUUAGAUUCAUACCUAUCUAAUGAAACAUUC
Molecule: long non-coding RNA, 1458 nt
Filed under: Malus domestica (apple)
Lineage: Eukaryota; Viridiplantae; Streptophyta; Magnoliopsida; Rosales; Rosaceae
Description: long non-coding RNA (MDOM_LNC008928)
Source: RNAcentral